RNAcentral lists this ribosomal RNA (588 nucleotides) under uncultured bacterium. Its description in RNAcentral is "bacterial SSU rRNA". It matches the Rfam family "Bacterial small subunit ribosomal RNA", at positions 338 to 916 of the family's 1533-position model. The record is from RNAcentral.
CCUACGGGAGGCAGCAGUAGGGAAUCUUCCGCAAUGGACGAAAGUCUGACGGAGCAACGCCGCGUGAACGAUGAAGGCCUUCGGGUCGUAAAGUUCUGUUGUUAGGGAAGAACAAGUGCUAGUUGAAUAAGCUGGCACCUUGACGGUACCUAACCAGAAAGCCACGGCUAACUACGUGCCAGCAGCCGCGGUAAUACGUAGGUGGCAAGCGUUGUCCGGAAUUAUUGGGCGUAAAGCGCGCGCAGGCGGUUUCUUAAGUCUGAUGUGAAAGCCCCCGGCUCAACCGGGGAGGGUCAUUGGAAACUGGGAAACUUGAGUGCAGAAGAGGAAAGUGGAAUUCCAAGUGUAGCGGUGAAAUGCGUAGAGAUUUGGAGGAACGACCAGUGGCGAAGGCGACUUUCUGGUCUGUAACUGACGCUGAGGCGCGAAAGCGUGGGGAGCAAACAGGAUUAGAUACCCUGGUAGUCCACGCUGUAAACGAUGAGUGCUAAGUGUUAGAGGGUUUCCGCCCUUUAGUGCUGAAGUUAACGCAUUGAGCACUCCGCCUGGGGAGUACGGUCGCAAGCUGAAACUUAAAGGAAUUGACGG